Non-coding RNA from Podarcis lilfordi (Lilford's wall lizard), 72 nucleotides. The record is from the annotation of a GenBank genome assembly. Lineage: Eukaryota; Metazoa; Chordata; Lepidosauria; Squamata; Lacertidae.
GCCUGGAUAGCUCAGCUGGUUACAGCGUGGCGCUGAUAAUGCCAAGGUUGCAGGUUCAAUCAUUUUGGUGCG